CUUUACACGAAUUCUGAUACUCUUUCACAAGUAUCAUGUCGUCAAGCGAAGUUCACUAUAUUCCUUACUAACACCGCUUCUUCCACCAAGCCAGCUUAACGCUCGGCCUCCUACCGUGCUGUGUGCCUACCACGUUAGCAAUCAGCUCGGUUAAUCGCGUUCGCUUCCAAAGGAUGUGAAAUGGUUCUGUCUGCGUAUCUAUGGGUUGUGGCAUAGUAUCGGUUGAUCGGACGACAGCCGUGAUGGCGGGGUGGCGACGGCUAAGUAUUUAAUCACGUGAUCCCCCCCGUCAAAAUAGCCUACAUGUUACUACACCCACAUGGACAGAAGUGCUUUUAUUCCGCGUUCAUUGUCAGGGCAAACUUAACACGUGUUGUACAUAUACAUUACGAUUUCGUUAUGUCAAUAAUAGUUUAUUUUUUGUAUAGAAAAUAAAAGUUUCUUUAUAACACAGAUUUAA
Long non-coding RNA from Apis cerana (Asiatic honeybee), 460 nucleotides. RefSeq lists it as uncharacterized. The record is from RefSeq and is a predicted model, not a curated record. Lineage: Eukaryota; Metazoa; Arthropoda; Insecta; Hymenoptera; Apidae.